AACGAACGCUGGCGGCAUGCCUAACACAUGCAAGUCGAACGAGACCUUCGGGUCUAGUGGCGCACGGGUGCGUAACGCGUGGGAAUCUGCCCUUGGGUUCGGAAUAACUUCGGGAAACUGAAGCUAAUACCGGAUGAUGACGUAAGUCCAAAGAUUUAUCGCCCAAGGAUGAGCCCGCGUAGGAUUAGCUAGUUGGUGAGGUAAAGGCUCACCAAGGCGACGAUCCUUAGCUGGUCUGAGAGGAUGAUCAGCCACACUGGGACUGAGACACGGCCCAGACUCCUACGGGAGGCAGCAGUGGGGAAUAUUGGACAAUGGGCGAAAGCCUGAUCCAGCAAUGCCGCGUGAGUGAUGAAGGCCUUAGGGUUGUAAAGCUCUUUUACCCGAGAUGAUAAUGACAGUAUCGGGAGAAUAAGACUCCGGCUAACUCCGUGCCAGCAGCCGCGGUAAAGUGACUACU
RNAcentral lists this ribosomal RNA (460 nucleotides) under uncultured bacterium. Its description in RNAcentral is "bacterial SSU rRNA". It matches the Rfam family "Bacterial small subunit ribosomal RNA", at positions 29 to 534 of the family's 1533-position model. The record is from RNAcentral.